This 458-nucleotide long non-coding RNA is filed under the name Sus scrofa (pig). RNAcentral describes it as "lncRNA (ENSSSCG00065021138.1)". Lineage: Eukaryota; Metazoa; Chordata; Mammalia; Artiodactyla; Suidae. The record is from RNAcentral.
UCCUCACAUCCAAUGCCUGUUGAACAGUACAAGAUUCAUCCUGGGUGACGUACUGGAAGCAAACUCAUGAAACCUGCUAAAGUGUAUUAAUCAACUCAAAGCCGCUGUUGAGAUUGUCCCGCUUGGGAUUCUACUAGUUUGACCUGCAAUAACAAGACUUGACCAAGAGCUGGGCACUUGAAAAUUGAUAACUAUCCCGUUGUGUCACAAUCAGUGACCAAAAAUCAGUCAUCAUCCAGAGAAGUUGGACAGAUGACCUUAAUAUAUAAAGAGAAAGUUCAUAUUGGAGCAAAAAAUAAGAAGUAUAUGCUCCAGGACCUGUGUGAAUCACAGCUGCCAGAAAACCAAGAAAGCAGAAAAGAUUCUCCUGAAAAAUAUCCUCAUUUGAAGGUAGCCUGUUUUAUACAUUCAUCUUGAAUUAUUUACUCCACACUGUAUCAUCUGUACAUUAUGGAUUA